GUGCUUGCUUUAGCAGCACAUAUACUAAAAAUUAGAACAAUACAGAGAUUAGCAUGUUCCCUGCUCAAGGAUGAUACACAAAUUCGUGAAGUGUUAAUUUUUUUU
Sapajus apella (tufted capuchin) is the source of this 105-nucleotide small nuclear RNA. The record is from RefSeq and is a predicted model, not a curated record. NCBI's taxonomy places the organism in Eukaryota, Metazoa, Chordata, Mammalia, Primates, Cebidae.